UACGUAGGGGGCAAGCGUUGUCCGGAAUCAUUGGGCGUAAAGCGCGUGUAGGCGGCCCGGUAAGUCCGCUGUGAAAGUCCAGGGCUCAACCCUGGGAUGGCGGUGGAUACUGUCGGGCUCGAGUCCGGAAGAGGCGAGUGGAAUUCCUGGUGUAGCGGUGAAAUGCGCAGAUAUCAGGAGGAACACCAAUGGCGAAGGCAGCUCGCUGGGACGUGACUGACGCUGAGACGCGAAAGCGUGGGGAGCAAACAGG
RNAcentral lists this ribosomal RNA (253 nucleotides) under uncultured bacterium. RNAcentral's name for it is "partial 16S ribosomal RNA". It matches the Rfam family "Bacterial small subunit ribosomal RNA", at positions 524 to 776 of the family's 1533-position model. The record is from RNAcentral.